GACGAACGCUGGCGGCGUGCUUAACACAUGCAAGUCGAACGGAAAGGCACUGCUUUUGUGGGGUGCCCGAGUGGCGAACGGGUGAGUAACACGUGAGUAACCUGCCCUUGACUUUGGGAUAACUUAAGGAAACUGGGGCUAAUACCGGAUAGGAGCUCCUGCUGCAUGGUGGGGGUUGGAAAGUUUCGGCGGUUGGGGAUGGACUCGCGGCUUAUCAGCUUGUUGGUGGGGUAGUGGCUUACCAAGGCUUUGACGGGUAGCCGGCCUGAGAGGGUGACCGGCCACAUUGGGACUGAGAGACGGCCCAGACGCCUACGGGAGGCAGCAGUGGGGAAUAUGGCACAAUGGGCGGAAGCCUGAUGCAGCAACGCCGCGUUCGGGAUGACGGCCUUCGGGUUGUAAACCGCUGUCGCCUGUGACGAAGCGUGAGUGACGGUAAUGGGUAAAGAAGCACCGGCUAACUACGUG
Molecule: ribosomal RNA, 468 nt
Filed under: uncultured bacterium
Lineage: Bacteria
Description: partial 16S ribosomal RNA
Rfam family: Bacterial small subunit ribosomal RNA
Source: RNAcentral